GGCCUAACACAUGCAAGUCGAGCGGCAGCGCGGUAGCAAUACUGGCGGCGAGCGGCGGACGGGUGAGGAAUACAUGGGAAUCUACCUCGUUGUGGGGGAUAACGUAGGGAAACUUACGCUAAUACCGCAUACGACCGGAAGGUGAAAGCGGCGGACCGCAAGGCGUCGCGCGAUGAGAUGAGCCCAUGUCGGAUUAGCUAGUUGGUGAGGUAAAGGCUCACCAAGGCGACGAUCCGUAGCUGGUCUGAGAGGAUGAUCAGCCACACUGGAACUGAGACACGGUCCAGACUCCUACGGGAGGCAGCAGUGGGGAAUAUUGGACAAUGGGCGCAAGCCUGAUCCAGCCAUGCCGCGUGGGUGAAGAAGGCCUUCGGGUUGUAAAGCCCUUUUGUCCGGAACGAAAAGGUGUCGAUUAAUACUCGGCACUGCUGACGGUACCGGAAGAAUAAGCACCGGCUAACUUCGUGCCAGCAACCGCGGUAAUACGAAGGGUGCAAGCGUUACUCGGAAUCACUGGGCGUAAAGCGUGCGUAGGCGGUUUCUUAAGUCUGUCGUGAAAGCCCUGGGCUCAACCUGGGAAUGGCGAUGGAUACUGGGAGGCUAGAGUGUGAUAGAGGAUGGUGGAAUUCCCGGUGUAGCGGUGAAAUGCGUAUAGAUCGGGAGGAACACCAGUGGCGAAGGCGGCCAUCUGGAUCAACACUGACGCUGAGGCACGAAAGCGUGGGGAGCAAACAGGAUUAGAUACCCUGGUAGUCCACGCCCUAAACGAUGCGAACUGGACGUUGGGAGCAACUUGGCUCUCAGUGUCGAAGCUAACGCGUUAAGUUCGCCGCCUGGGGAGUACGGUCGCAAGACUG
This 857-nucleotide ribosomal RNA is filed under the name uncultured Lysobacteraceae bacterium. RNAcentral's name for it is "bacterial SSU rRNA". It matches the Rfam family "Bacterial small subunit ribosomal RNA", at positions 45 to 896 of the family's 1533-position model. Lineage: Bacteria; Pseudomonadati; Pseudomonadota; Gammaproteobacteria; Lysobacterales; Lysobacteraceae. The record is from RNAcentral.